AAUGCACAAUUUUGUAAGUCGCUCUGGAUAAAAGCGUCUGCUAAAUGACUUAAA
Salmo salar (Atlantic salmon) is the source of this 54-nucleotide non-coding RNA. Lineage: Eukaryota; Metazoa; Chordata; Actinopteri; Salmoniformes; Salmonidae. The record is from Rfam.